GAUGUGUGAAUACAUGAUUAGCUUCAUCCACAAGCCGUAACACUUACCAGGGAAAUAUAUGAUGAACAGUGAUUUGGAAAACUUCACAAUUUUAUUGGUGGUGACAAACAGGGAUACACAAGAAACUCUCCUCUGCAUGGCCUGUGUAUUUGAAGUUUCAAAUAGUGAAUAUGGAGCACAACAUCAUAUUUACAGGCUUUUA
This 202-nucleotide long non-coding RNA is filed under the name Homo sapiens (human). RNAcentral describes it as "non-protein coding lnc-RPUSD4-2:1". Lineage: Eukaryota; Metazoa; Chordata; Mammalia; Primates; Hominidae. The record is from RNAcentral.